RNAcentral lists this ribosomal RNA (553 nucleotides) under Borreliella garinii. Its description in RNAcentral is "bacterial SSU rRNA". It matches the Rfam family "Bacterial small subunit ribosomal RNA", at positions 19 to 566 of the family's 1533-position model. The record is from RNAcentral. Lineage: Bacteria; Pseudomonadati; Spirochaetota; Spirochaetia; Spirochaetales; Borreliaceae.
CUGGCUUAGAACUAACGCUGGCAGUGCGUCUUAAGCAUGCAAGUCAAACGGGAUGUAGCAAUACAUCUAGUGGCGAACGGGUGAGUAACGCGUGGAUGAUCUACCUACGAGAUGGGGAUAACUAUUAGAAAUAGUAGCUAAUACCGAAUAAGGUCAAUUAAUUUGUUAAUUGAUGAAAGGAAGCCUUUAAAGCUUCGCUUGUAGAUGAGUCUGCGUCUUAUUAGUUAGUUGGUAGGGUAAAUGCCUACCAAGGCGAUGAUAAGUAACCGGCCUGAGAGGGUGAACGGUCACACUGGAACUGAGAUACGGUCCAGACUCCUACGGGAGGCAGCAGCUAAGAAUCUUCCGCAAUGGGCGAAAGCCUGACGGAGCGACACUGCGUGAAUGAAGAAGGUCGAAAGAUUGUAAAAUUCUUUUAUAAAUGAGGAAUAAGCUUUGUAGGAAAUGACGAAGUGAUGACGUUAAUUUAUGAAUAAGCCCCGGCUAAUUACGUGCCAGCAGCCGCGGUAAUACGUAAGGGGCGAGCGUUGUUCGGGAUUAUUGGGCGUAAAGG